AUUGAACGCUGGCGGCAUGCUUUACACAUGCAAGUCGAACGGUAACAGGCCUUCGGGUGCUGACGAGUGGCGAACGGGUGAGUAAUGCAUCGGAACGUGCCCAAUCGUGGGGGAUAACGUAGCGAAAGUUACGCUAAUACCGCAUAAGCCCUGAGGGGGAAAGCAGGGGAUCGCAAGACCUUGCGCGAAUGGAGCGGCCGAUGUCAGAUUAGCUAGUUGGUGGGGUAAAGGCCUACCAAGGCGACGAUCUGUAGCGGGUCUGAGAGGAUGAUCCGCCACGCUGGGACUGAGACACGGCCCAGACUCCUACGGGAGGCAGCAGUGGGGAAUUUUGGACAAUGGGCGCAAGCCUGAUCCAGCCAUGCCGCGUGCGGGACGAAGGCCUCGG
This 388-nucleotide ribosomal RNA is filed under the name uncultured bacterium. RNAcentral describes it as "bacterial SSU rRNA". It matches the Rfam family "Bacterial small subunit ribosomal RNA", at positions 29 to 420 of the family's 1533-position model. The record is from RNAcentral.